This 253-nucleotide ribosomal RNA is filed under the name uncultured bacterium. RNAcentral's name for it is "partial 16S ribosomal RNA". It matches the Rfam family "Bacterial small subunit ribosomal RNA", at positions 524 to 776 of the family's 1533-position model. The record is from RNAcentral.
UACGUAGGGUGCAAGCGUUGUCCGGAAUUAUUGGGCGUAAAGAGCUCGUAGGUGGCGGGUCACGUCGGGUGUGAAAGCCCGGGGCUUAACCCCGGGUCUGCAUUCGAUACGGGCUUGCUAGGGUCCGGCAGGGGAGACUGGAAUUCCUGGUGUAGCGGUGGAAUGCGCAGAUAUCAGGAGGAACACCAAUAGCGAAGGCAGCUCGCUGGGACGUUACUGACACUGAGGCGCGAAAGCGUGGGGAGCGAACAGG